This 303-nucleotide ribosomal RNA is filed under the name uncultured bacterium. Its description in RNAcentral is "bacterial SSU rRNA". It matches the Rfam family "Bacterial small subunit ribosomal RNA", at positions 355 to 675 of the family's 1533-position model. The record is from RNAcentral.
UGGGGGAUAUUGCACAAUGGGCGCAAGCCUGAUGCAGCGACGCCGCGUGGGUGAAGAAGUACCUCGGUACGUAAAGCCCUAUCAGCAGGGAAGAAAAUGACGGUACCUGACUAAGAAGCUCCGGCUAAAUACGUGCCAGCAGCCGCGGUAAUACGUAUGGAGCAAGCGUUAUCCGGAUUUACUGGGUGUAAAGGGAGCGUAGGCGGCAUACCAAGCCUGAUGUGAAAACCCGGGGCCCAACCCCGGGAGUGCAUUGGGAACUGGCAAGCUAGAGUGUCGGAGAGGCAGGCGGAAUUCCUAGUG